AUACGGAGGGGGCUAGCGUUGUUCGGAAUUACUGGGCGUAAAGCGCGUGUAGGCGGAUCGUUAAGUCAGGGGUGAAAGCCCGGGGCUCAACCCCGGAACUGCCCUUGAUACUGGCGAUCUAGAGUCCGGAAGAGGUGGGCGGAAUUCCCGGUGUAGAGGUGAAAUUCGUAGAUAUCGGGAGGAACACCAGUGGCGAAGGCGGCUCACUGGUCCGGCACUGACGCUGAGACGCGAAAGCGUGCGGAGCAAACAGGAUUAGAUACCCUAGUAGUCC
This 274-nucleotide ribosomal RNA is filed under the name uncultured bacterium. Its description in RNAcentral is "partial 16S ribosomal RNA". It matches the Rfam family "Bacterial small subunit ribosomal RNA", at positions 523 to 796 of the family's 1533-position model. The record is from RNAcentral.